UGGGGAAUAUUGCACAAUGGGCGAAAGCCUGAUGCAGCAACGCCGCGUGAGGGAAGACGGUCUUCGGAUUGUAAACCUCUGUCCUUGGUGAAGAACAAAUGACGGUAGCCUUGGAGGAAGCCACGGCUAACUACGUGCCAGCAGCCGCGGUAAUACGUAGGUGGCAAGCGUUGUCCGGAUUUACUGGGUGUAAAGGGAGCGCAGGCGGGAAAGCAAGUCAGCUGUGAAAACUAUGGGCUUAACCCAUAGACUGCAGUUGAAACUGUUUUUCUUGAGUGGAGUAGAGGUAAGCGGAAUUCCGAGUGUAGCGGUGAAAUGCGUAGAGAUUCGGAGGAACACCAGUGGCGAAGGCGGCUUACUGGGCUCUAACUGACGCUGAGGCUCGAAAGUGUGGGGAGCAAACAGG
Molecule: ribosomal RNA, 406 nt
Filed under: uncultured prokaryote
Also listed under: 1 other name
Description: bacterial SSU rRNA
Rfam family: Bacterial small subunit ribosomal RNA
Source: RNAcentral